Molecule: long non-coding RNA, 544 nt
Filed under: Vitis vinifera (wine grape)
Lineage: Eukaryota; Viridiplantae; Streptophyta; Magnoliopsida; Vitales; Vitaceae
Description: long non-coding RNA (VVIN_LNC004905)
Source: RNAcentral
GUAGCUCGGCCUCCCAUACUGUGGCUUCCUGGGGGACCCUUCCCCACCAUAACCAUACCCGCCACCUUGUUCCUCUCCGAAGCUAGGUUUCCGACCGUACCCAGAUCCAUAUUCAGAACUCGGUGCUUCGUACUCAGGCCUCCGACCAUACCCAGAUCCAUACUCCGAACUGGGCUGCUCGAACUCGGGCCUCCGACCAUACCCAGAUCCAUACUCCGAACUAGGUUGCUCGUAUUCAGGCUUCCGACCGUACCCAGAUCCAUAUUCCGUGCUAGGCUGUUCGUAUUCAGGCUUCCGACCGUACCCAGAUCCAUAUUCCGAGCUAGGCUGUUCGUAUUCAGGCUUCCGACCGUACCCAGAUCCAUAUUCCGAGCUAGGCUGUUCGUAUUCAGGCUUCCGACCGUAGCCAGAUCCAUAUUCCGAGCUAGGCUGUUCGCAUUCAGGCUUCCGACCGUACCCGGAUCCGUACUCCGAACUGGGUUCCUCGUAAUCAGGCUUCCGCCCAUGCCCAGAUCCAUACUCACCCUCCCCACCAAAACUCGAC